UAUUGAUUAUUAAUUGUCUUUAUUUUUUAAAAUGUGCAGCCUUAUUCAUACUAUCUUUUGUUAGAAAAAUGAAAGAAGAGAAGGCAUAGAAAUGAGCUUGGUAACUAGCAUUCUUGUAGGUGGAUUUGCCAAAAUGGAAAAUGUAGACACUUUUGGGUUGCCAUUUCAAUUGUCUUCUUUGUUGCUGCUACAUUAUUUACUCUACUGAAACUUUGUGAUUUAUAAUCUUCCCCAGGUUGUAAAGUAUAUUUUGGUCUUAGAUAGCCAGCCAAGCUAAGCUAAGUAGAUGGAAGCAAUUGUUGAAGUUGAAGAUUGUGAAAGCGUUUAAGAUUUCUUAUUUAAGUCUUGUAUUAGGAUCUAGUUUCAUGUAUUAUUAUAGAAUGUAUAUACAAACGCAAUAUUAAGA
This is a long non-coding RNA of Cucumis sativus (cucumber), 406 nucleotides long. RefSeq lists it as uncharacterized. NCBI's taxonomy places the organism in Eukaryota, Viridiplantae, Streptophyta, Magnoliopsida, Cucurbitales, Cucurbitaceae. The transcript is spliced from 3 exons. The record is from RefSeq and is a predicted model, not a curated record.